RNAcentral lists this ribosomal RNA (542 nucleotides) under uncultured archaeon. RNAcentral describes it as "bacterial SSU rRNA". It matches the Rfam family "Archaeal small subunit ribosomal RNA", at positions 457 to 997 of the family's 1478-position model. The record is from RNAcentral.
GUCAGCCGCCGCGGUAACACCGGCGGCCCGAGUGGUGAUCGUGAUUAUUGGGUCUAAAGGGUCCGUAGCCGGUUUGGUCAGUCCUCCGGGAAAUCUGAUAGCUCAACUAUUAGGCUUUCGGGGGAUACUGCCAGACUUGGAACCGGGAGAGGUAAGAGGUACUACAGGGGUAGGAGUGAAAUCUUGUAAUCCCUGUGGGACCACCUGUGGCGAAGGCGUCUUACCAGAACGGGUUCGACGGUGAGGGACGAAAGCUGGGGGCACGAACCGGAUUAGAUACCCGGGUAGUCCCAGCCGUAAACGAUGCUCGCUAGGUGUCAGGCAUGGCGCGACCGUGUCUGGUGCCGCAGGGAAGCCGUGAAGCGAGCCACCUGGGAAGUACGGCCGCAAGGCUGAAACUUAAAGGAAUUGGCGGGGGAGCACAACAACGGGUGGAGCCCUGCGGUUUAAUUGGACUCAACGCCGGACAACUCACCGGGGGCGACAGCAAUAUGUAGGCCAAGCUGAAGACUUUGCCUGAAUCGCUGAGAAGUGGUGCAUGG